UCUCCGUAGGUGAACCUGCGGAGGGAUCAUUAUAGAGUUCUCGCCCUCGCGGGUAGAUCUCCCACCCACUGUUAUCGUUACUGUGUUGCUUUGGCGGGCCGCCGGGCCCCGCUCGGCCGCCGGCUCCGGCUGGCGCGCGCCCGCCAGAGGCCCAGCAAACUCUGAAUGUUAGUGUCGUCUGAGUACUAUAUAAUAGUUAAAACUUACAACAACGGAUCUCUUGGUUCUG
Molecule: unclassified non-coding RNA, 229 nt
Filed under: plant metagenome
Description: partial contains small subunit ribosomal RNA, internal transcribed spacer 1, and 5.8S ribosomal RNA
Source: RNAcentral